This 396-nucleotide ribosomal RNA is filed under the name Microcarbo pygmaeus (pygmy cormorant). RNAcentral's name for it is "Microcarbo pygmeus (pygmy cormorant) partial 12S small subunit ribosomal RNA". It matches the Rfam family "Bacterial small subunit ribosomal RNA", at positions 794 to 1384 of the family's 1533-position model. Lineage: Eukaryota; Metazoa; Chordata; Aves; Suliformes; Phalacrocoracidae. The record is from RNAcentral.
GCCUAGCCGUAAAUCUUGGCACUUCCCCYACUAAAGUGCCCGCCUGAGAACUACGAGCACAAACGCUUAAAACUCUAAGGACUUGGCGGUGCCCCAAACCCACCUAGAGGAGCCUGUUCUAUAAUCGAUAACCCACGAUCCACCCGACCACCCCUUGCCAAAACAGCCUACAUACCGCCGUCGUCAGUCCACCUUCAUGUGAAAGAGCAACAGUGAACACAAUAGCCCGAUCCGCUAGCAAGACAGGUCAAGGUAUAGCCCAUGGGGUGGAAGAAAUGGGCUACAUUUUCUGGAACAGAAAACUUAACGAAAGGGGACGUGAAACCAUCCCCGAAAGGCGGAUUUAGCAGUAAAGCGGGACAAUAAUGCCCCCUUUAAACCGGCCCUGAGGCACGU